UGGGUCCUACGGGGGGCAGCAGUGAGGAAUAUUGGUCAAUGGGAGAGAUCCUGAACCAGCCAAGCCGCGUGAGGGAAGACGGCCCUAUGGGUUGUAAACCUCUUUUGUCGGAGAACAAAACCCGGGACGUGUCCCGGACUGCGUGUAUCCGAAGAAAAAGCAUCGGCUAACUACGUGCCAGCAGCCGCGGUAAUACGUAGGGGGCAAGCGUUAUCCGGAUUUACUGGGUGUAAAGGGAGCGUAGACGGUGCAGCAAGUCUGAUGUGAAAGGUCGGGGCCCAACCCCGGGACUGCAUUGGAAACUG
RNAcentral lists this ribosomal RNA (305 nucleotides) under uncultured bacterium. RNAcentral describes it as "bacterial SSU rRNA". It matches the Rfam family "Bacterial small subunit ribosomal RNA", at positions 333 to 635 of the family's 1533-position model. The record is from RNAcentral.